AUGAGCGACCGUGCCCUGCCUCCUGAAAUCUUUUUCGAAAUGUAUACAAAUAUUUGGAAUACUAAUAUUGGUGGAGAAGUUACCACCCACCAGACCUCCUUGGAGCUCUUGGUGUACCUGAACGAAGUCACCGGCAAGCACGGCGUGGGCUGAAUUGACAUUGUGGAAAACCGCUUCAUCGGAAUGAAGCCCCGAGGUAUCUGCGAGACCCCAGCAAGGCACCAUCAUUUACCACGCUCAUUUAGACAUCCAGGCUUUCACCCUGGACCGGAUGGACCGGGAAAUGCACAAAAUCAAGCAAGGCCCGGGCUUGAAAUUUGCUGAGCUGGCCUAUACCGGUUUCUGACAGCCCUGAGUGUGAAUUCGUCUGCCACUGCAUCGCCAAGUCCCAGGAGCGAGUGGAAGGGAAAGUGCAGGUGUCCGUCUUGAAGGGCCAGGUGUACAUCCUCGGCCGGGAGUCCCCACUGUCUCUCUACAGCGAGGAGCUGGUGAGCAUGAACGUUCAGGGUGACUAUGAGCCAAUUGAUGCCACCAGCUUCAUCAACAUCAAUUCCCUCAGGCUGAAGGAAUAUCAUCGUCUCCAGAGCAAGGUCACUGCCAAAUGGACCCCUGUACAAUGAGGAGUCGGGGCUGCCUCGAUUUGCAGAUCCCCCCAGUACAGGCGCUAAUUGUUGUGAUAAUUUGUAAUUGUUACUUGUUCUCCCCGGCUGGCAGGCUAGUGGGGCAGCCAGGCCCCAGCUUUGUUCCCUGGUCCCCCUGAAGCCUGCAAACCUUGUCGUCAAAGGGAAGGGUGGGGGGCAGCUGCAGUGGGAAGCUAUAAAAUGACAAUUAAAAGAUA
Molecule: RNA transcript, 838 nt
Organism: Sapajus apella (tufted capuchin)
Lineage: Eukaryota; Metazoa; Chordata; Mammalia; Primates; Cebidae
Gene name: argininosuccinate synthase pseudogene
Exons: 2
Source: RefSeq, a predicted model, not a curated record